The sequence is a transfer RNA, 83 nucleotides long. It matches the Rfam family "tRNA". Rfam says of the family: Transfer RNA (tRNA) molecules are approximately 80 nucleotides in length. Their secondary structure includes four short double-helical elements and three loops (D, anti-codon, and T loops).
GGGCGAGUGGCGGAACUGGCAGACGCGCUAGACUUAGGAUCUAGUGGAUAUCCGUGGGGGUUCAAAUCCCCCCUUGCCCACCA